GGGAGAGAACUGGCGGUAGCACGCACGCGGGAGAGAGAAACAGAAAAGGGCACUGUGCAAAUUAGGGCACUUGCCGGAAUUUUGAUCGGACGUUUGGACGGCCAAACGAUCUCCGUUUUGGCCCAAAUUCGGAGGAAAUACUCUAUUCGACUAGACGAACAAGCCUGCGGUGGCUGAUUUUGUUUUUAACGGUCAAAUUUUCAGAUCUGAGAUGCAAAUAUCUCUCCUGAGGAUCCACAGGUGGGACAGGGAGGACUUCAGGAUGCUCCUGGAGCGGCCUAGUGGAGCGUGACAUUUAUUUGUUAUUGUGUUCCUUUUUGGAUUUUGGGGAUUUGUUUUAGCAAUUAUGACUCAUGGAUUUGCUAUGAAGCUUUAUUUGAUUAAGUUGUUAAUUGUGAACUUUUAUUGUGGACUAUAAUGAAUAUUUAUUUAAUCUUGUUGUUUUGAGUAGUUUUGGGAUAUUGUAAUUUAUGAGAAUUCUAGUGAGAUGUAUAAAAAAAAAAAAAAUCCAGAGUGUUUUGGUUGACUGCCAACAUGGAAUAGGAGGAACCCUUAGGGUCAAACCUUUGACCUGGGGUCACGGGUCAAAUUUUGGGUCGCCCGGAAUUUGGGUCGUGACAUACUUGCUCAUCCAGUUGCUGCUGCAAAUACUCCUUCGACCUGGGGAAUUCUCUGAAGCUGCCUCUGAACUUAUUCUAUGUUGUAAGAAAGCCUUCUCUCCUUCGGAUCUCCUUGAAUCCUCUGGUGAAGACGAGUUAUAUGGUGAUGAAACACAUAAGUUAAUGGAUGUCCUUGUAGAUACAUUACUCUCAUUGUUGCCAGAGUCAUCAGCUCCAAUGCGAUCCGCCAUUGAGCAGGUUUUUUUUUUUAAUAUUUCUGUGAUGAUGUCACGGAUGAUGGACUGCUUCGGAUGUUGCGUGUCAUUAAGAAAGACCUAAAACCUGCUAGACAUCCGGAUGCAGAGAGUGAAGAUGAUAGCGAUGAUGAUGAUGAUUUUCUCGAUAUUGAAGAAGCUGAGUGAAGAGAACACCAUUCUACCUCUACAUGGCUGAGAUGUUGAUGCAAAGGAAGGAUGGUCGCCACAGUUCUCCAGCAAUAUUCGCAGCAGAUCGAGUUAUUCAUGUGUUCAUGUUUGGGAAAGGGUGUUAGGGACAUACAGGAAAUUACAAGAGAUCCUCUUCACAGGCAGAGGUGGAAUAUUAUGCAUUCAGUGCCCAAGGUGCCCCAAGUUUAUGCUUCUAGUCUGCAUGGCUUGCUUAGUCACUCC
This is a long non-coding RNA of Vitis vinifera (wine grape), 1267 nucleotides long. RefSeq lists it as uncharacterized. The record is from RefSeq and is a predicted model, not a curated record. NCBI's taxonomy places the organism in Eukaryota, Viridiplantae, Streptophyta, Magnoliopsida, Vitales, Vitaceae. The transcript has 2 exons.